Rattus norvegicus (Norway rat) is the source of this 157-nucleotide small nucleolar RNA. Ensembl annotates it as small nucleolar RNA U3. The record is from Ensembl. NCBI's taxonomy places the organism in Eukaryota, Metazoa, Chordata, Mammalia, Rodentia, Muridae.
AAUACUACACUUUCAGGGGUCAUUUCUAUAGUUUGUUACUAGAGAAGUUUCUCUGACUGUGUAAAAGCUGUAGAGACAAUGUGGUGGUUUGAGUAAGAAUAGCCCCAAUAGGCUCAUAUGUUUGAAUGCUUCAUCAUCAGAGAGUGGCACUACCUGA